GACAUGAGAGAGGACAUUCAUUUUCUGUCUGUCAUUCUGCCCCUCCCAGACCUCCUUCAGCACGUCCAGCGGACCUCGAACCUCACAUCUGUAGAGCAUCUGGAAUGGUGAGAACCCAAGUGAUGCCUGCGGCACUUCCUGGGUAUUAGAUGUAGAAUAGACCCCCCCCUUCUCCCCAUCGGUGGAUCCUCCCGAUAAGCAUAAGCACCUGUCUCAGUGGACUUCCCGGCUCAUCCAUCACCUCUGCCCGCUCUACUCGCUCUCACACCUUUCCGCGAACAAAACACAUCUUUCUCUCCUUCGCUCCUUCUGUCACUGGAGUACCACGCGACCACUCUAUUGUUUACCCAAAAAGGAGAGUAGGCUGUUAACACAUGUUUAGUAAUAGAACACCCUCCCCAGGCCCAUGGAGAAGAGAGCUUUACUCCCUGUACUCCCUCCUCCUUCAACCUCCCUCCCUCCUCCUGACAGAUUAGGCCCACCAUUCAUCUAAAUUAUGUCACUGGCAAUGAGCAAUCGGCUUAAUCUGUCCUAAACGGGACUGGGAGUUGGGGUGAUGUUGACACUUCGGUGAAACUCCCUACUGUCGUUGGAGCUGUCACACCCCCUAAUGUGUGACGACCAACCCCCCCCUCCACCUAGCCCCCAUGCAGAGAAGCAAAGGGUCUCCUGAGCUGAGCUGAGAAAAGCACAUGGCUAAUGACAAAUAGUAUAUGUUGGACUAGAACAUCUGUUGAACACUUGGCCUGAUUUUGUGAUGCCAUUCAGUUCCAGCUGUGAACAUGGAGGCAUUGGGUGUUGAAAUGCAAUUGUAUGUGUUCAGAGUUGAUCACUUCAUCCUUUCUUAAAGGGUAAAAUGACUCACUGCUGCGUGCUGCUGUACUUUGAGUGUGUAUGUGCAGUAAUAU
This is a long non-coding RNA of Pygocentrus nattereri (red-bellied piranha), 908 nucleotides long. RefSeq lists it as uncharacterized. The transcript has 3 exons. Lineage: Eukaryota; Metazoa; Chordata; Actinopteri; Characiformes; Serrasalmidae. The record is from RefSeq and is a predicted model, not a curated record.